GACGAACGCUGGCGGCGUGCUUAACACAUGCAAGUCGAACGGAAAGGCCCUGCUUUUGUGGGGUGCUCGAGUGGCGAACGGGUGAGUAACACGUGAGUAACCUGCCCUUGACUUUGGGAUAACUUCAGGAAACUGGGGCUAAUACCGGUUAGGAGCUCCUGCUGCAUGGUGGGGGUUGGAAAGUUUGGGCGGUUGGGGAUGGACUCGCGGCUUAUCAGCUUGUUGGUGGGGUAGUGGCUUACCAAGGCUUUGCCGGGUAGCCGGCCUGAGAGGGUGACCGGCCACAUUGGGACUGAGAUACGGCCCAGACUCCUACGGGAGGCAGCAGUGGGGAAUAUUGCACAAUGGGCGGAAGCCUGAUGCAGCAACGCCGCGUGCGGGAUGACGGCCUUCGGGUUGUAAACCGCUUUCGCCUGUGACGAAGCGUGAGUGACGGUAAUGGGUAAAGAAGCACCGGCUAACUACGUG
This 468-nucleotide ribosomal RNA is filed under the name uncultured bacterium. RNAcentral describes it as "partial 16S ribosomal RNA". It matches the Rfam family "Bacterial small subunit ribosomal RNA", at positions 28 to 507 of the family's 1533-position model. The record is from RNAcentral.